UUUUUUUUAUGUAAUCCAUGGUUAGCUUUCAUUGAAGCUUCCACCUUCUCCGUUACCAAAACUCAGAAUCUUCAUCCUCGGUGUCUUGUGUCUCUCGUUCAUUUAGUUUUUUUAUUUUCAGUUGAUUUUAUAAUUAUUUCUUGGUCUCCAUUAAAAAGCUCCUCUUCCUAUCCUCUUCCUCUUCAUCUCCUCCUUCUCCCCCUCUCCUUCGCUCUCUCUCUCUCUCUCUUUCUCUCUCUCUCUCUAUAGACUAUUUAUUAUUUUUUAUUGCCAUUAAAGCUCCUCUUCUCAAGUUUUUCUUCUCUCUCUCUCGCGUCUCUUAUCUUCGUCAUUAAAGCAUUCUUUGGACCUUUUUUCCUCUCUUACUCUCCCUAAAAGCUAUUUAUUUUCUCCAUAAAAUCUUACUUAUCUUUCUUUCUUCUUCUCCUUCUUUUUCUCUCUGGGGAUCCAUGCUGCAGGGAAGAAGUGGUGCUUUGGAUAGAAAAGCGACACCUUUGAGGGAGAUCUGAAUGCGAGAGGGUUAGAGAGGGGAGAGCCUGAAAGGAGAGGGGGAGGGAUCAAAACCCUAGCUUUGUUGGAGGACUGGAGCUCCCGGUGCGAUGAAGUCGGAGGCUCGGUUAGAUUCGGCAGUAUUCCAACUCACGCCUACUCGUACGAGGUGUGAUUUGGUUAUUGUUGCAAAUGGCAAGACUGAGAAGAUUGCAUCUGGGUUAUUGAACCCCUUUCUCGCACAUUUGAAGACUGCCCAGGAUCAAAUUGCCAAGGGGGGCUACUCUAUUACACUUGAACCAGACCCUAAAAUUGAUGCAGUAUGGUUUACCAAGGGCACUGUCGAGAGGUUUGUUCGUUUUGUGAGCACACCCGAGGUUCUGGAGCGGGUGACCACCAUAGAGUCUGAGAUCUUGCAGAUUGAGGAGGCAAUUGCUAUCCAGAGCAAUGACAAUCUUGGCUUGAGCACCGUGGAAGAUCAUCAAACAAAACCUUUAGAGUGCAUCGAAGGGAGCAAGUCCACAUCUGAUGCUGAUACAGAAAAGGCUAUAGUUCUUUACAAGCCUGGGUCACAACCACAUCCAUCAGAUUCAAAUGGAUCAACAACACAGGAGGAGAAUUCAAAAGUUCAACUCUUGAGAGUACUUGAGAGCCGGAAAAUUGUAUUGCAGAAAGAACAGGGCAUGGCCUUUGCACGGGCUGUAGCUGCUGGUUUUGACAUGGAUCACAUGGCACAAUUGAUAUCAUUUGCAGAGAGCUUUGGUGCAUCACGUUUAAUGGAGGCGUGCUUAAGAUUUAUGGAGUUAUGGAAGAGAAAGCAUGAAACUGGACAAUGGGUCGAAGUUGAGGUUGCAGAAGCAAUGUCCGUCCGAUCUGAAUUUUCUUCUUUGAAUGCCUCAGGGAUUAUACUCUCUGGAGAUUCUAGGAGACAUAAAGAAUAUGGGGAAGCAUGGCCUGUCUCUGGAGGGGAUAUGGGCACUGAGAGCAAUGGGACAACUGAUAGGAAGAUUCCACCAGAUCCGCAGGUUCCUUCGGGACCCCAUGAGUAUUAUCAAGGGCAAUUUCAGCAUCCUGCACAUCCCCCAUGGCCUAUGCACUCCCUACCAGGUCCACACGUCUUUCAGCCUUAUCCUAUGCAAGGCAUGCCGUAUUAUCAGAAUUAUCCAGGAGGUGGUGCAUAUUUCCAUCCUCCAUAUCCUCCAAUGGAGGAUCCUAGAUUCAGCACGCCUCAAAAAAUGCGACAGAAGUGGCAUUCUAUGGAUAGUAAAGAUAGCAAUAUUGAGUCGGAGGCGUCAGAAAUGGGUGGUUCUGGUACAAGAUCACAGGAUGGUACAUAUCAAGAUAUGUCAGAGUUUGAGAAAGAAGGUUCUCAUGGUCAUGAAUCACGUAAAAGGGUGGGCCAUUCAGGAAAGAAGAAGUCUGGUAUGGUUGUCAUUCGGAACAUAAAUUACAUCACAUCAAAAAGGCAUGAAACAUCAGGAAGUGAAUCAGAAUCAGCUUCUGAUACUGAAACUGAAGAGGAAAACAAAGACAUGUCUGAUGCCCAUGAUAGAAAGCAUAGGAGUUCCUCAAGAACUUCAAAGACGGAUGCAGUUCGCCCGAAAUCUAUAGAAUUUUCAGAUGCCUAUGCCAAGGAUGAAUUCACCAAUGUACAGGAGGCAGAUUCUGGAAAUUGGCAAGCAUUUCAGAGUUUCUUACUGAGAGCUGAAGAGAAAUCAAGAACUGCUGAUGUGGACAUCUUUGCUGGUGAAAAAAAGCCUCCAGUAAAGAGAAAACAAAAUAAUGGUGAAGAUGAUCCUAUCCUUCCUCCCGAAAGAUAUUCUGGUAAUGUUCAGGAACGGAGGAUGAUAGGGUUAGAUUCACUUAGUGGUAAGGCAAGCCGGAUGAAGCAGAUGGCUUCAAAUGAUGAAUUAUUGAUUUCAGGUGAAGGAAGAGGCGUAAUAGAUAGCCAGCUUAAGGAAAUAGAAGGGGGGAGGGGAGGGUAUAAGAGUUUGACCAGUGAUGAAUUCAUGAUUUAUGGACGAGAUAAGCAAGUGGACAGUAAGAAUUCUUCAGACCCACUUGUUGAUCAGCAAUAUGAACAUGAUAAAAAUUUGGAUAAGAAAUCCUUAUAUAAUGUCAUGGAUGAGUCCUUUGUUGUUCCAUUUAGGUCAGGCUCACAAGAUCAACUUGGACCAGAUGGCAGAACUGCCAUUGACAUAUAUUCUGAAUUCCCUCCAGCUCUGCGGAGAACUGAGGAUUCUUCUAGUAAGGCUAAAAAUCAAAUCACUUAUGAACCAGAUGAUUUGACCUUACUGCCUGAACGUGGCAUGGAGAGCGUAUCCAUUGGUUAUGAUCCUGCUAAAGACUAUGACAUCCAGAUUCCUGUUAAAAAUGCUGUCGAAGUGGAAAUCGGAAACCAUGAGGAUGUCCCAACGAGCACCAAAGAAGAGUUGAAAAAUUCAGACAAGGACAAAAAGUUAAAGGUUUCACAGAAUGGAUCAGAGAAAAAGAAAAAAGAUGCUCUGAUGAGGAAAGGGACAUUGGCAAAGAUGAAUUCGUUGGUUGAAGCACAAAAACGUGCAGAGAAGCUGCGGGCCUCCAAAGCUGAUCUUCAGAAAGCAAAGAAAGAGAGGGAAGAGGAAGAGAGAAAGCGGUUGGAAGCUUUGAAAAGAGAACGACAAAAGAGAAUUGCUGCAAGGAGUGGUACAAAUGCCACUCAAAAGCCAUUGAUCUCACAACAGACCAAAGCCCAAUUACCAACAAAGCUUUCUCCAAGUUCUUACAGAGGAUCAAAGUUUAGUGACUCAGAGCCUGGAUCUUCUUCACCAUUACAAAAACUGCCAACCAGAACCACUUCAGUUGGGUCCAAUGAUUCUCAAAAAAUCACAAGAACUGGUAAAUUAAAUGGCAGUAGUCAUGGAUUAAGUCGAUCAGCAUCAUCAUUGCCCGAGAUUAAGAAAGAAAAUAGUAAUUCCAGACCAGAAGCAAAGACAGCUUCCAUUCAAAAUAGAAGGCUUUCCGAUCCCAAAGGUACUAAAGUUCAGCGUGCUUCUCCACUACAAUCUGUUUCCAGAGAUCAAAUACCGAAGAGAGGCAUGACUGAUGAGUCACAAAAAGAGAUUUCUGCAAUAAUCCAACUAGACAAAAGCAAGUCAGCAACUUUGCCAGAGCUGAAGAUUAGAACAUCAAAAGGCCCUUCCAAUACAGUCCAAAACAAGUCAGCUGCUAAAGUGACAUCGCAGAAAGGAGUGGGAAGCAAAACUUCUCAAGCUUCUGUAACCACCAAAGCAAAAAGGACUGAUGAUAAGACAUCAAGACUUAGCAACAUUGAUGACAACCUAGUGAUUGAGAAGACUGUUGUGAUGCUUGAAAAUGAGGUUGUUCCAGCUCCUGCUGUUCAAGCAUCUGAAGUGAUGAUAGGCAUAAAUGAUAGAACAUAUGGAGCUGAUAAAAUAGGGAACACUGGGCUGGAUUCAGAAUAUGCAGCUAUCCGUGCUCCACCUUCACCCAUUAUUGUAGGUGAAAUUGAAAAUUCUGCUGAACAUAAACUUGAUGACGAGCUGAAUUCCUAUGAGGUGGUAAUUGAUUACUCAAAGGAGGAGCCUCAGAAGUUCUCAAACACUACAGCCAUAGAAAAGCCUUAUCAAGCUCCCUAUGCCAGAACAACAUCCUUAGAGGAUCCCACUGCCAGUAAUGUAGAAUAUGCUCAAUUACCACAUGUUCUAAACUCCGAAAUGGCUACAAUGCACAGCAAGAGUAUCAAGGCACGUGUGCCCAAUUUUGCCAUGGGCUCGAAUUUUGUUGAUCAUACAAAUGAGUCACGUGAGAAGCCUCGGAGCAAAGAAACUAAAGGUUUUAGGAAGUUACUAAACUUUGGAAGGAAGAACCACAACUCAGCAACAGGUGAGGGUAACCAAGAGUCAGAUGCAUCAUCUGUUGAUGAGCAAACUUUAGCUGCUGCUUCAUCGAAUGAUGCUUGCUUGGAAAUUGCAGCACUGCAGGCCUGAAGUCAUACAAUUCAGUGUAGCAUAAAUUUCAUAUGCUGAAGAAUCUAAUUUCUCAAGAUGAUAGCCAUGCUGGAGGCACUUCCGCCAAAGUGUCUCGCCCCUUCUCCAUUCUUUCACCCUUCCGCAGCAAGAGCAGUGACAAGAAGGUGUCUGCAUGAUAAGCCGAUUGCUGCAAUUCAUACAAGGUAAGAUGUAUCUGCUAUUCAAAUACAGCCGAGAGGUUGUUGGUUGAUGCGUGAUUUGCCAUUUUCUUGUAAACAAUAAUGUAUAAUGUGUUUGCCAAAAUUCGUUUCUUUUUGUUGAUAUCGGUUUGUGAUGAUCUUAUUCUCUGCACAACUAUUCUAUUGGAUGGUUAAAACAAAGCUUCAUGCCUGAUAGCACGUGAA
This is a non-coding RNA of Elaeis guineensis (African oil palm), 4864 nucleotides long. The record is from RefSeq and is a predicted model, not a curated record. Lineage: Eukaryota; Viridiplantae; Streptophyta; Magnoliopsida; Arecales; Arecaceae.